Musa acuminata AAA Group (dessert banana) is the source of this 1499-nucleotide RNA transcript. It is a transcript of the gene named 14-3-3 protein 7, with no coding region annotated. The transcript is spliced from 9 exons. NCBI's taxonomy places the organism in Eukaryota, Viridiplantae, Streptophyta, Magnoliopsida, Zingiberales, Musaceae. The record is from RefSeq and is a predicted model, not a curated record.
GGUCACCCGCAGAUAGCUUCUCUGCGGUAAAACUCGGGCGUUCCGAUCCCCUCAACAGAAACUUCCUUCCGCAGUUAAUAGUAUUAUUACACGGCAGAGAGAAGGAGAGAGAGACAGAGAGCGAGGUGAGACAAAGGGAGGUCGGAGAUAUUUUUCCAUUCUGGGAAAGAGAAGAAAGGAGGAGGAGGAGGAGGAGGUGAAGUAGGGGGAUGGAGGAGCGGGAGAGGCAAGUGCUCAUGGCGAAGCUCGCAGAGCAGGCGGAGAGAUACGGUGAAAUGGUGGAGUCCUUGAAGAAGAUUGCCAGAAUGGACAUUGAGCUGACGCCAGAGGAGAGGAACUUAUUGUCGGUUGGCUACAAGAAUGUGAUUGGUGAAAGAAGAGCAUCAUGGAGGAUCCUCUGUUCGCUUGAACAGAAAGAAGAGGUGAAGGGGAGUGAGCAAAAUGCGAGGAGGAUAAGGGAGUAUAAGAAGAAAGUUGAAAACGAACUGUCGAGGAUCUGUAAUGACAUUUUGUCUGUCAUUGCCAUCCACAUCCUUCCGUCUUCUUCUGCUGGUGAAUCGAUCGUUUUCUUCUACAAGAUGAAAGGAGAUUAUUACAGGUAUUUGGCAGAAUUUAAGACUGGAAAUGAAAGAAGGGAUGCUGCGGAUCAGUCGCUUAAAUCUUAUCAGGCUGCUACAAGUACUGCUAUGACUGAUCUUCCACCCGGUCACCCGAUUAGGCUUGGCCUCGCACUAAAUUUCUCUGUCUUUUACUAUGAGAUAAUGAAUUCAUCUGAAAGGGCAUGCCAUCUGGCUAAACAGGCGUUUGAUGAGGCUAUUCCAGAGAUCAAUUCCCUCAGAGAAGACUUUUACAAGGAUAGUACACUUAUUCUGCAGCUUCUUAAGGAUAAUCUGACAUUGUGGACAUCAGAUCUGCCAGAAGGAGGUGAACGAUCCAGAGACACCAGUACGAAUAUGGAAUUGCAUUAACCCAGAAGAUGCCAUGUUCUGGACCUUUGCAACCUUCCCAGUAGGGUGCGCAGACAGUGGGGAGUGACGGUGGCAGCAGUGUGCGCAGGCGGAGGCUAUGGGGAAGGAAAAGGAGAAAAAGAAGAGGAACUUCAGAUAUCUUUAUCUACUACAAGAAAAGCCACGACGACCAAUUGUGACUGCUAGACCGACAUAAAAGAACUGAAAAUAGACUCCAUGCAAAGUGCCCCACAUUUGUUUCUGCAAUGCAAGUUCUAAGCAUAUGACACAUUUACCACACCAGCAAGAGUAGUUGGUCCGUCAAAGCUGAUUGGUGCUCAUGUGAGGCCUUAGCUGCUGCUAAUGUCACUGUUUGGUGAUUCCAGUUCUUCAUGUUCUGGUUUCCAUUUACUUUUGUCUUGGUUUGACGGGCAUGCAAGGGUUCAUCCAAUGUAUAAAAUGUUUGGGUGUGGGAUCGAUAAGCUCUUUGGAAAUUCAACUCAUGUUUACGUACGAAUGAGCUGUUAAUCAAUAUGACUUUCCAGUCUUGCA